UGAGGAACAUGACCUUCGGCGGGGGAUAGCCGGCCCAACGGCCGGGUAAUACCGCGUACGACCACAUGGGGACAUCCCUGAGUGGUGAAAGCAGCAAUGCGCCGAUGGAGUGCCUCGCGGCCUAUCAGCUAGUUGGUGAGGUAACGGCUCACCAAGGCGACGGACGGGUAGCUGGUCUGAGAGGAUGGCCAGCCACAUUGGGACUGAGACACGGCCCAGACU
Molecule: ribosomal RNA, 222 nt
Filed under: uncultured bacterium
Lineage: Bacteria
Description: partial 16S ribosomal RNA
Rfam family: Bacterial small subunit ribosomal RNA
Source: RNAcentral